UACGUAGGGACCAAGCGUUGUUCGGAUUUACUGGGCGUAAAGCGCACGUAGGCGGAUUGCUAAGUCAGGGGUGAAAUCCUGGAGCUCAACUCCAGAACUGCCUUUGAUACUGGCGACCUUGAGUCCGGGAGAGGUGAGUGGAACUGCGAGUGUAGAGGUGAAAUUCGUAGAUAUUCGCAAGAACACCAGUGGCGAAGGCGGCUCACUGGCCCGGUACUGACGCUGAGGUGCGAAAGCGUGGGGAGCAAACAGG
This 253-nucleotide ribosomal RNA is filed under the name uncultured bacterium. Its description in RNAcentral is "partial 16S ribosomal RNA". It matches the Rfam family "Bacterial small subunit ribosomal RNA", at positions 524 to 776 of the family's 1533-position model. The record is from RNAcentral.